Gossypium arboreum is the source of this 1269-nucleotide long non-coding RNA. RefSeq lists it as uncharacterized. The record is from RefSeq and is a predicted model, not a curated record. Lineage: Eukaryota; Viridiplantae; Streptophyta; Magnoliopsida; Malvales; Malvaceae. The transcript is spliced from 2 exons.
AGCUGACCUUCAUUAAUGAUUCUGUCAUUUCAUCUGCCCAAGACAUUUGGAAAGUUAUAGCAGAUCUUCUGAAAAAAUCUUUUGCUUUUCUGCAUUCUUUUCAAAUGGCACCAUUCUUUCAUUUCAAAAGUCACAAACUCAUUUUCCCUCUUUCAUGCCAAUAAUCUUAGUCGUUUUAUCUUUUCUUUUACUCUGAAAAUCCCGGGUGAUUUUACUCCAGUUCUUCUCUAAACGAUCUUGAAAUCCCUCACUCUAGGAAUUGUUCCUCACCAUUCUUGAGUGCUUCUUUUGCUAAUUGAUGGGCUUCUGUAUUUUCUGACCUUGGGAUGAAGUAGAAUCUGAUUUAUUGGAAGUGUAUCUUUAAGCUUUGAAUGUCACUGAUAAUUGCUCCUAUUUUUGAUCUUUCGCGGUUUGCAUUUUGACAUUUUGUUAUUACCGUUUUCGAGUCACCUAUUAUGUCCAGAAUAUGAAAACCCAUAUGAAUCCCUAAUUUUGAUGUUUGAAAUCUUGCAUAUGCUUCCGCCGCGAACGGAGAUGCAACGUUAACAUGCAGAAUCGAUUUUGCUGCUACGGUUCUACCCCCUCAUCUUUAGCCACUAGCCCUGAUGCAGAUCUGAAGUUUUGUGGGUCAAAUACAGCAUCGAAAUAGAUAACCACAUUCGCCCUUUGUAUGUUUUGUUUAAGUCUCGCAUUUGCUUCUAAGAUAAGUACCUUGUCCUUUAUACCGUCCAAUUCUGAAAUGUAACUAUUAAUUUGUUUGGAGAUAUCCCAACUGGUGCUUGAUUUGCCUUCAUAUAUUAACUUGUUCCUGUUUGUCCAGAUUAGCCAAAGUCUGCAACAAAAGAUUCUACAUUGUUCAUUCGACCCUUGAUUGAAAACCCAAGGCACAAUCGGAAGAUGUGGUUGCUAUCUUCUUCUCCUUGACGGCAUUCUUAUACAUCGAUCCUCAACUAUCACUCUUCUCAGCUUCAUAUUAGAGAAAGUGGGAAUGUAAUUCCAUGAAAUUUUCCACAUUGUAAUUUUGAUUUCCGAAGGCAUGUAUAAGUUCCACAGUUUCCUGUAAAAAAAUUUAGUACAGCCUGUAUAUAAUUACUAGGAUUCAUUGUAGUAUCCUGUAAUAGUUUAUAGGCACUUCUUACUGAGAAAUUUCCAGAUGACUCCCUUAUCCACACCUGAAAGUCUUCAUGGGCUGACUUUGUUAACGGGAUUUGCAAUAUUUUUCUAGCAAUAUCUGUAUAAAAGGUACGGACAAUCAAGUCGCUCUUCCAA